GACGAACGCUGGCGGCGUGCUUAAUACAUGCAAGUCGAGCGAGGUUACUGUUUUGGAUCCCUUCGGGGUGAAGAAGCUUUAACCUAGCGGCGGACGGGUGAGUAACGCGUGGGUAACCUACCCCAAAGUCCGGGAUAACAGCGGGAAACCGCUGCUAAUACCGGAUGCCUUUACCUUGGGGCAUCUUGAGGUAAAGAAAGGCAACGCUUUGGGAUGGGCCCGCGUCCCAUUAGCUAGUUGGUGAGGUAACGGCUCACCAAGGCGACGAUGGGUAGCCGGCCUGAGAGGGUGGACGGCCACACUGGGACUGAGACACGGCCCAGACUCCUACGGGAGGCAGCAGUAGGGAAUAUUGCGCAAUGGACGGAAGUCUGACGCAGCGACGCCGCGUGAGCGAUGAAGGUCUUCGGAUCGUAAAGCUCUGUCCUUGGGGAAGAAGGCGAAAGCUUGACGGUACCCAAGAAGAAAGCCCCGGCUAACUACGUGCCAGCAGCCGCGGUAAUACGUAGGGGGCGAGCGUUGUCCGGAAUUACUGGGCGUAAAGGGUGCGUAGGCGGCCCUUUAAGUCGGAUGUGAAAGCCCGCGGCUUAACCGCGGAAUGGCAUUCGAAACUGGAGGGCUUGAGUGUCGGAGAGGGUAGUGGAAUUCCCAGUGUAGCGGUGAAAUGCGUAGAUAUUGGGAGGAACACCAGUGGCGAAGGCGACUACCUGGACGAUAACUGACGCUGAGGCACGAAAGCUAGGGGAGCAAACAGG
RNAcentral lists this ribosomal RNA (755 nucleotides) under uncultured bacterium. RNAcentral's name for it is "bacterial SSU rRNA". It matches the Rfam family "Bacterial small subunit ribosomal RNA", at positions 28 to 776 of the family's 1533-position model. RNAcentral also lists the same sequence under 1 other name. The record is from RNAcentral.